This 425-nucleotide ribosomal RNA is filed under the name uncultured bacterium. Its description in RNAcentral is "partial 16S ribosomal RNA". It matches the Rfam family "Bacterial small subunit ribosomal RNA", at positions 354 to 796 of the family's 1533-position model. The record is from RNAcentral.
GUGGGGAAUAUUGGGCAAUGGGCGAAAGCCUGACCCAGCAACGCCGCGUGAAGGAAGAAGGUCUUCGGAUCGUAAACUUCUAUCCUUGGUGAAGAUAAUGACGGUAGCCGAGAAGGAAGCCCCGGCUAACUACGUGCCAGCAGCCGCGGUAAUACGUAGGGGGCAAGCGUUGUCCGGAAUGAUUGGGCGUAAAGGGCGCGUAGGCGGCCUGGUAAGUCUGGAGUGAAAGUCCUGCUUUUAAGGUGGGAAUUGCUUUGGAUACUGUCGGGCUUGAGUGCAGGAGAGGUAAGUGGAAUUCCCGGUGUAGCGGUGAAAUGCGUAGAGAUCGGGAGGAACACCAGAGGCGAAGGCGACUUACUGGACUGUAACUGACGCUGAGGCGCGAAAGUGUGGGGAGCAAACAGGAUUAGAAACCCCAGUAGUCC